UCGUCACACACGACGGCUC
RNAcentral lists this small nuclear RNA (19 nucleotides) under Arabidopsis thaliana (thale cress). RNAcentral describes it as "snRNA_15061". Lineage: Eukaryota; Viridiplantae; Streptophyta; Magnoliopsida; Brassicales; Brassicaceae. The record is from RNAcentral.